GUUAAGGAGGCCGGGUUUUGCAAGCUGUAUGUAGACCUAUGCGUGACGUCCAGGUCUAGAUUAUCCAUUAUUACGCCACAGUUGACAGUCAGCAUGAGAGGAUCCAUUUCAUCAAUCCUCAAAGCUCUUCUUUUGCCUGCCCACCAUACUUCUUCAAGAGCGUCUUGAUCAUACUGACAGCUCCGUACCGAUAAUGACCACCGAAC
Molecule: unclassified non-coding RNA, 206 nt
Filed under: Hevea brasiliensis (rubber tree)
Lineage: Eukaryota; Viridiplantae; Streptophyta; Magnoliopsida; Malpighiales; Euphorbiaceae
Source: RNAcentral